Oncorhynchus tshawytscha (Chinook salmon) is the source of this 1761-nucleotide long non-coding RNA. The record is from Ensembl. Lineage: Eukaryota; Metazoa; Chordata; Actinopteri; Salmoniformes; Salmonidae.
CUGCAUCUAUUUUAUAUGGAGAGUCUCAGGCCAGACCGGGUCCUAGACACCAUUCCUGCAUCUAUUUUAUAUGGAGAGUCUCAGGCCGGGUCCUAGACACCAUUCCUGAUCUGGCUGCAUCUGUUUUACAAAUUCAGCCUGUGGGCCGCCAGUUGGGGAACCCUGCACUAGGCAGUUCUGUGCCUGAAUUACUAAACUAGGCUCCCUGUAGCAUAAUUAUUUCCCUGUGGUCCUGUUGAGGUAGGAUGUGACAAACGUUGAUUUGGGUUUGACCAGACACACCCAAGGUGUAUGUAGCUGUAUGUUGGUGUGUUUGUGACUGUGAGUACAGGUGGUGCUAGCUGUAUGUUGGUGUGUUUGUGACUGUGAGUACAGGUGGUGCUAGCUGUAUGUUGGUGUGUUUGGGUGUGAUUACAGGUGGUGCUAGCUGUAUGUUGGUGUGUUUGUGACUGUUAGUACAGGGUGGUGCUAGCCGUAUGUUGGUGUGUUUGGGUGUGAUUGUGAUUACAGGUGGUGCUAGCUGUAUGUUGGUGUGUUUGUGACUGUUAGUACAGGGUGGUGCUAGCUGUAUGUUGGUGUGUUUGUGACUGUGAGUACAGGUGGUGCUAGCUGUAUGUUGGUGUGUUUGUGACUGUUGGUACAGGGUGGUGCUAGCUGUAUGUUGGUGUGUUUGUGACUGAGUACAGGUGGUGCUAGCCGUAUGUUGGUGUGUUUGUGACUGUGAGUACAGGUGGUGCUAGCUGUAUGUCGGUGUGUGUUCUCCUCUGUUUGAAUAGUGGUCAAACAUGUAUGUGUUUUGAGUUGUGGUUUGACCGUGUGUGUGCGUGAUGUGUGCACAUACGGAGUAUACCAAACAUCAGGAACACCUUCCUAAUAUUGAGUUGCACCAGCCCCCUUUUUCCCUCAGAACAGCUUCAACUCGUCAGGUCAUGGACUCUACAAGGUGUCAACAGCGUUCCACAGGGAUGCUGGCCAUGUUGACUGCGUCCCACAGUUGUUAAGUUGGCUGAAUGUCCUUUGGGUGGUUAACCAUUCUUGAUACACGCGGGAAACUGUUGAGUGUGGGAUAAACCAGCAGUGUUGCAGUUCUUGCCAGAAACUCCUUAUUUAACCCGUCUCCUCCCCUUCAUCUACACUGACUGAAGUGGAUUUAACAAGUGACGUCAAUAGGGGAUCAUAUCUUUCACCUGGAUUCACCUGGUCAGUCUGUCAUGGAAAGAGCAUACUCUGUGAGUGUGUGUGUGUGUGUGUGUGUGUGUGUGUGUGUGUUUGACACUGUGAGUGUGCCGUUCAAGCAGGACAUGGUAUGUUUUCUCUCUCACCCUGCCGUGGAUGUGGACACUGUCUCUCUGCAAGGUUCCAGUUUAGUCAGUGAGCAGCGGGAGUUCUGCAACACCAGUCAAAGCAGGUUAUUUAUAGACCUCAGUAUUCAUUUAAGCAGAGGAGCAACAUUUACACCUCGUCUUAGAACGAUAGCCUGUAUGUACAUAUCGCUAUGUUUUUUCCCCCUCAUGUUCUCUCUUAAACACACACAAACACACACCCCCUCACCCUUCUUGCAUGCUAUCUCACCCUGCGUGUACAUUUUGUGUAAGGGAAGGGGAAAUGUAUAGUUUCCUGUCAGUGGUUUGGCCUUUAACACAGAUAACUGUAAUGUACUACAGCCUCUGUGUGCUACAGACUCUACAGCCUCUGUGUGCUACAGACUCUACAGCCUCUGUGUGCUACAGACUCUACAGCCUCUGUGUGCUACAGACUCUA